GUCCUAGCCGUAAACGUUGGAUGCUAGGUGUGGGGGGACAUCGACCCCUUCCGUGCCGAAGCUAACGCAUUAAGCAUCCCGCCUGGGGAGUACGGCCGCAAGGCUAAAACUCAAAGGAAUUGACGGGGGCCCGCACAAGCGGCGGAGCAUGUGGCUUAAUUCGAUGCAACGCGAAGAACCUUACCUGGGCUUGACAUGCGGGGUGAAACCGUGGAAACACGGCGCUCUUCGGAGCCCGCACAGGUGGUGCAUGGCUGUCGU
Molecule: ribosomal RNA, 261 nt
Filed under: uncultured bacterium
Lineage: Bacteria
Description: partial 16S ribosomal RNA
Rfam family: Bacterial small subunit ribosomal RNA
Source: RNAcentral